RNAcentral lists this ribosomal RNA (470 nucleotides) under uncultured bacterium. Its description in RNAcentral is "bacterial SSU rRNA". It matches the Rfam family "Bacterial small subunit ribosomal RNA", at positions 28 to 508 of the family's 1533-position model. The record is from RNAcentral.
GAUGAACGCUGGCGGCGUGCUUAACACAUGCAAGUCGAACGAAGAUGCCGGAGUGCUUGCACUUUGGCAGACUGAGUGGCGGACGGGUGAGUAACGCGUGGGUAACCUGCCUUAUACAGGGGGAUAACAGUUGGAAACGACUGCUAAUACCGCAUAAGCGCACGGUAUCGCAUGAUACAGUGUGAAAAACUCCGGUGGUAUAAGAUGGACCCGCGUCUGAUUAGCUUGUUGGUGAGGUAACGGCCCACCAAGGCGACGAUCAGUAGCCGGCCUGAGAGGGUGAACGGCCACAUUGGGACUGAGACACGGCCCAAACUCCUACGGGAGGCAGCAGUGGGGAAUAUUGCACAAUGGGGGAAACCCUGAUGCAGCGACGCCGCGUGAGUGAAGAAGUAUUCGGUAUGUAAAACUCUAUCAGCAGGGAAGGUAAUAGACGGUACCUGACUAAGAAGCACCGGCUAAAUACGUGU